This 73-nucleotide transfer RNA is filed under the name Paramuricea clavata. It matches the Rfam family "tRNA". Rfam says of the family: Transfer RNA (tRNA) molecules are approximately 80 nucleotides in length. Their secondary structure includes four short double-helical elements and three loops (D, anti-codon, and T loops). Lineage: Eukaryota; Metazoa; Cnidaria; Anthozoa; Malacalcyonacea; Plexauridae. The record is from Rfam by way of RNAcentral.
GACCGUGUAGCUCAGUUGGAAGGGCAUUGGACUAGUAUUCCAAAGGUCAUAGGUUCGAUUCCCACCGUGGCCA